Molecule: non-coding RNA, 119 nt
Organism: Triticum aestivum (bread wheat)
Lineage: Eukaryota; Viridiplantae; Streptophyta; Magnoliopsida; Poales; Poaceae
Source: Rfam
CUCCUACUCCCUCCGUCCGUAAAUACUUGUCCUAAAAAUAGUUGAAAAUGGAUGUCCUAGAAAUAACUCUAGAUACAACCAUUUUUAGGGUAAGUAUUUUCGGACGGAGGGAGUAGUUC